UGCGUCGUGGCCUAGUGGAUAACGCUGCUGGCCAGCGUUCUGAAGGUGACGGGUUCGAUCCCCCUUGGGGUCA
This is a non-coding RNA of Caenorhabditis brenneri, 73 nucleotides long. NCBI's taxonomy places the organism in Eukaryota, Metazoa, Nematoda, Chromadorea, Rhabditida, Rhabditidae. The record is from the annotation of a GenBank genome assembly.